RNAcentral lists this ribosomal RNA (442 nucleotides) under uncultured bacterium. RNAcentral's name for it is "partial 16S ribosomal RNA". It matches the Rfam family "Bacterial small subunit ribosomal RNA", at positions 338 to 795 of the family's 1533-position model. The record is from RNAcentral.
CCUACGGGUGGCUGCAGUGGGGAAUAUUGGGCAAUGGGCGCAAGCCUGACCCAGCAACGCCGCGUGAAGGAAGAAGGCUUUCGGGUUGUAAACUUCUUUUAAGAGGGAAGAGCAGAAGACGGUACCUCUUUAAUAAGCCACGGCUAACUACGUGCCAGCAGCCGCGGUAAUACGUAGGUGGCAGGCGUUGUCCGGAUUUACUGGGUGUAACGGGCGUGUAGCCGGGCUGACAAGUCAGAGGUGAAAUCCCGUGGCUCAACCACGGAACUGCAUUUGAAACUGUCGGUCUUGAGUAUCGGAGAGGCAGGCGGAAUUCCUAGUGUAGCGGUGAAAUGCGUAGAUAUUAGGAGGAACACCAGUGGCGAAGGCGGCCUGCUGGACGACAACUGACGGUGAGGCGCGAAAGCGUGGGGAGCAAACAGGAUUAGAUACCCGUGUAGUC